Molecule: ribosomal RNA, 217 nt
Filed under: Barbronia sp. EB-2004
Lineage: Eukaryota; Metazoa; Annelida; Clitellata; Hirudinida; Salifidae
Description: partial 28S ribosomal RNA
Rfam family: Eukaryotic large subunit ribosomal RNA
Source: RNAcentral
UGCGCAAGUCGCAGGUCUGUACGAAACCCGGAGGCGCAAUAAAAGUGAAGGCCGGACUAGCGCCGGCUCAGGUGGGAUCCCGGGGCGAGAGAUCGUGACGGGCGCACCACCGGCCCGUCUCAGCAGUCGCAUCUGCGAGGCGGAGCUAGAGCGUACUUGUUGGGACCCGAAAGAUGGUGAACUAUGCCUGAGUAGGACGAAGCCAGAGGAAACUCUG